UACGUAGGGGGCAAGCGUUGUCCGGAUUCAUUGGGCGUAAAGAGCGUGUAGGCGGCCAGGUCGGUCGGUUGUGAAAACUGGAGGCUCAACCUUCAGAGGUCGACCGAAACCAUCUGGCUAGAGUCCGGGAGAGGAGAGUGGAAUUCCUGGUGUAGCGGUGAAAUGCGCAGAUAUCAGGAAGAACACCCGUGGCGAAAGCGGCUCUCUGGAACGGUACUGACGCUGAGACGCGAAAGCGUGGGGAGCGAACAGG
RNAcentral lists this ribosomal RNA (253 nucleotides) under uncultured bacterium. Its description in RNAcentral is "partial 16S ribosomal RNA". It matches the Rfam family "Bacterial small subunit ribosomal RNA", at positions 524 to 776 of the family's 1533-position model. The record is from RNAcentral.